This is a non-coding RNA of Drosophila virilis, 396 nucleotides long. Lineage: Eukaryota; Metazoa; Arthropoda; Insecta; Diptera; Drosophilidae. The record is from RefSeq and is a predicted model, not a curated record.
CAGCACACACUGUGUGUGUAUUCACAGUAAGCCUACAUUCGGGCACAUCUUAUAAAAAUAAUAACAAAUUCUCCGCACAUGUGUGUGCGUGUGUGAGUGCAUGGCAAAUCAAGUGCGGGGGGGGAAGCACAUCGAAUACGAAACAAAAACAUGCUCCAAGAUCAGCAAAUGCCAAUACUCGUUUUGGCCUAAAUACACAAGGCGCUAACAAGUGGGCAUGCAAGCGUUGCGGUCUACAACAUCGAAUCGUUGAUGACCUACAAAGCAAAUAGAUUGCAAUGUCUAACUGUUUAUGUAGAAUCAAAAGCAUCUGGCUUGCAAAGAACAUGUAAAUUUAAAUAAAAUGUGGUCUAUCAGAAAUCUUAAAGGCGAAACGAAAUUCACCGAAAUCCUUAA